CAUCUCGCUGGACUGUCCGUGACGUGACGGCGAGGCUUAUAAUAUUACACGCUAACUGCAUACACAUACAUAUAUUUACCGAAGAUACGAAACAGUAAUUAUUAUUCCUCUUCGCUAAUUAAUACAGACGAUUAUAUACACACGCACAGAACUACGAGACUCUGACCGUUAAACUAAAAACCCGAAUUAUUUUCCUACAGCCUUAAUAAUAUUAACACGUGCGUUGCCGACCUCCCAGACGUUAUUUAUCUAUAUCGUCGGGGUCGAGUCGUCCGGUUCGCCGUGUAAAGUACCUGCGUGCGCCGUCGUAUAAAACCUUUUUUUUUUUUUUUUUUCUGUUGUAUUAUAUUAUUAUUAUUACUUGGUACAUUGCCAUAACGUUAUAAUGCGUAAUCGAUUAUAUUUUUUUUUUUCUCAUUCCCGUUCCCGGAACGUCAAUUAAUUUUACGGGCCUGAUAUAAUACGGCGUUUUGACCCGACACCGCGAACGGGAUAACAUUGCGCACUGCGCUCUCAUUUCCAUAAUCUGUCGAUUAACGUAUUACCGCCGCCGAACGGUUUGUUACCCAAAAGACUAUUUCCAAAGCGGUUUCCGAGAAUUCG
Molecule: non-coding RNA, 603 nt
Organism: Cinara cedri
Lineage: Eukaryota; Metazoa; Arthropoda; Insecta; Hemiptera; Aphididae
Source: the annotation of a GenBank genome assembly